GACGCUAGGAGAUUAAAGCAACAGGAGAAGGAGAGCAGUGCUCACGGAGAGCAUCCGAGCAGGACUGCAAAAGAGGAGCAAAAGAAAGCCUCCCACGAGAGGGAACAAUGGAGGCCGGUACAAGAGGAGCAACAGAGGAGAACAGCAAAAGAAGAGCAAAUGAGAUCUGCUCAAGUGGAACAGCAAAGAUGGCUGGCACAAGGGGAGCAACAGAAGAGAGCUGCAGAAGAAGAGCAAAGGAGAGUUGAUGGAGUAGAGCAGCAAAAGAGGCUGGCACAAGAUGAGCAAAGAAGGAAAUUUGCUCAUGAGGAGCAACAAAGAAGAGCUGCAUAUAUAGAGCAACAGAAAAUAGCUUCACAAAAAGAGCAACAGAGAACAUUUGUUCAAGCUGAGCAACAACAAAAAACGGAGCAAGAGCAAGGAGCUACACACAUGGAGCAGCAGAAGAGAGCUCCACAUGCAGAGCAACAGAAUAGGGCUAAAUAUAUAGAACAACUAAAUAAAGCUGCACAUGUAGAGCAACAUCAUAACCCUGCACAUGUAGAGCAACAGAAUAGAGCUCCAUAUGUAGAGCAACAGAAUUAUGCGGCACAUGUAGAGCAACAUCAUAACCCUGCACAUGUAGAGCAACAGAAUAGAGCUCCAUAUGUAGAGCAACAGAAUUAUGCUGCACAUGUAGAGCAACAGAACAGAGCUUCAUAUGUAGUGCAACAGAACAGAGCUCCAUAUAUAGAGCAACAUAGUAGAGUUGUACAUGUAGAGCAUCAUAAUGAUGCUGCAAAUGUAGAGCUACAUAAUAUAGCUGCACAUGUAGAGCAACAAAACAGAUCUCCAUAUAUAGCGCAACAGAAUAAUGAUGCACAUGUAGAGCAACAGAAUGAUGCUGCACACGUAGAGCUACAGAAUAGAGUUCCAUGUAUAGAGCAACAUAAUAGAGCUGCACAAGUAGAGCAACAGAAUAGAGCUGUGCAUAUAGAGCAUGAGAAUAAAGUUGCACAUAUACAGCCACUGAAUACAGCUGCAUAUGUAGAGCAGCAAAUUACUUUUACACAAACAGAGCAGCAAAAUAGAGCUGUACAUGUAGAGCCGCAGAGAAGAGCUGUUCAAGAUUAUAAACAGCAUAAAGUUGCUGAAGACAAGCAUGAACUAAGAGCUGCUAAAGGAGAGAGGCAGAGCAGAAUGAUUCUGCAAGCAGAGCAAAGCAGAGUGGUUCAUGCAGACCAACAAACACAACUUGCACAUGGAGAGCUACAGAGAAGAACUGCAGAAGAAGAGCAAAGGAGAGUUGCUUCAGUGAAGGAACAAAGGAGGCAUAUGCAAGAAGUGCAAAUGGUAUCUGAACAUGUGGAGCAAAAGAGGAAAGAUGCUAAAGAAACCGAGCAAAGAAGAGCUGCUCAAGACGAAAAACAGAGAAAAGUUAUGGAGGAAGAGCUCAAGCAAGCUGAGCAAGAGAAGCAUCAAAGGAGAGCUUUUCAAAUGGAGAAUUAUGGAAAAGUUUUACAAGAACAACAGAAACAAUCAGUACAAGACGAAAAACAGAGAAGUGAAGAACAGAAGCAGCAAAAGCAAUGGGGAGCAGCUCAGAUUGGGAACCAAUCGCAGACUAAACAGAUCUAUGACAAAAUAGCUACCGAUGUUCUAGAGGAAAGGGAGGGAAAACCAAGACGGGAUGAGAAAGCAGCUAUUCAUCCAGAGGAAAAGAGAAUUAAACAGACUCAGCAGCAGAAGAGUGAAGAACUGAUGGAAGAAAGACACAUAAAAGAACAAUGGAUGAAAACUUCAGAGGGGCGGGGAGAAAAGAUAAACGCUCAAAACGAAGAAAUCACGAGACAAAACAAUGACAAAAAUAAAAAAACUGGGAACAUUAUUCUUAUUGGGAAUAACGCAAUGGCACAAGAUCCAGUGCAAACCAAAGUGGAAAAUUAUUUAUGUGAUGACAAAAGGUCAGCCUUCCACAAAGAAAAUGCAAGCUCCAUUCAAACAGAGAUGCAACAUAAAGAAGCAUCAACGUCAGAUGCUCCCCAGUACUAUGCUAUAACCUCCGAGUCCAGUGAUGACUCCGCGUUCCACACCAGAACUCAAAGACCACAUUCUGCUGCAUCUCCAGGUUCAUCUUUGCCUCGUUCUAACACCUCCUCCCCUGCUCCAGGAGGCAAGCCUUGGAUGUUCAGAGUGAAGGACAACACCAUCAGAGGUUCUUCUCUCACCAAGUCAGUCAAACCACGCUUCCAUAAGAACUUUGGAGAGGAUUUUUGGAUGGGUUUACCCUCAGAGAGAGUAGAAGAUGAACAGGAGAUGAUGAGACGAAGCGCGGGGACCCCUGUUAUGUCUAACAAGGGAUUGAACCGAUCAGCAUCUUCACUCCAGGACUACUCAACCUCUUUCUCCCAUCAAAGGUCCUACUCCAGGAGAAGUUUGGCACUGGAUGAAGAUGAGUCUCGUUCUGUCAUCAGCAACAUGUCAGAAGAUGUAGAGAGCAUUGCAACCAACGCAACAGACGUGGCAGACGUUCGAGGUCUGUUUGACCAUGAGAGACCUGAAUCAGCCUGCAGCUUCAGCAGUGACGUGUCACGUUCUCUGGGCAAACCUCCAGUUGUUCCACCAAAGAGUGACAAAGCCUUGCGCAGAGCUCAGAGGUUGACAACUCGACGGAUGAAGAAAGAACUGUCCAAAGUGGCGGAAGUCUCCAGUUUGCCCCCCUCUGCUGAGGUAUGGUCCUCCAACCAUCAUGCUGUGGCUUCUCCUCAUUUUUCCCCACCUAUAGCCUUUGCUCAUGCUUCUUCUCUGAGAUCUAGCUCGUCUUCUUCCCAGACAGAACACCAAUCUUCUCACCACUCCUUUCAUGCUUCCCCUCAUGCCACUGGUCCAAUCUCCCUCCCCAGUUCCUCUCCUCAUGCAGCCCCCACAGUUCCCCUUCCUCCUGUGUCUCGUCAUGCUUCUGUCCCCGCCGCUCCUACGACAGUUGCUCAUGUUUCCUUUCCUUCCAUUUCCCAUUUAAUCCAUCCCCACUCCACUCCAGUGACACAGUACCAAGUAGAGCCAAGCCACUACCACCAGUCCUACCCACUGACCCAGCACAGGGUCCUGCAAGACUUGGGGUCCGGUCAGUAUUUUGUAGUGGAAGUGCCCGUUCAAGUCAAAACAAAGACAUUCUUUGAUCCUGAAACAGGAAAGUAUGUUCAACUGAAUGUGAGACAGUCGGGUCAGAGUGUUUCCCAGUCUCAGCCCCAGCCAACAACUCAAGUCCCACUCAAGUCCCAACAACAGCCCCUCCCCCAGGGGUCUAUACCCGGCAAAUCGUUUGUGUUUCACCAAGGUUACCAAAGUUAUCCCCAAAGCUACCAGCCAGCGGUCAUCAACUCUGCACACCCCAACAGGUCAACAGCCCCUGCAGCUCUUCACCAAGACCAGCAACGUCCCAGAGAGAGCCACGUUUCUACAGAAGUCCAGCAGACCUCUGAAGAGCGUCGCUACAGUCCAGAGAAGACGCCGUACAUGGACACAGUUAAUGAAAAAAGCAGAUCGUACAACCCUGUAAACAGCACCCAGGAUUCACGUGAGCCGUUCCCACAGUUUGAAACCAGCAGUGAACUUUUAGGAAGUGAAGACGACAACCCAGCUAACUCGCUGUGUGAGCCCCGUGACAUCAUAGCCAUGAGGGAUCUGGAGGAUUUCAUGGAGAUUUCUGACUGGUGA
Nothobranchius furzeri (turquoise killifish) is the source of this 3696-nucleotide long non-coding RNA. The record is from Ensembl. Lineage: Eukaryota; Metazoa; Chordata; Actinopteri; Cyprinodontiformes; Nothobranchiidae.